CCUACGGGAGGCAGCAGUAGGGAAUCUUCGGCAAUGGGGGGAACCCUGACCGAGCAACGCCGCGUGAGUGAAGAAGGUUUUCGGAUCGUAAAGCUCUGUUGUUAAGGAAGAACGUGUGUGAGAGUGGAAAGUUCACACAGUGACGGUACUUAACCAGAAAGGGACGGCUAACUACGUGCCAGCAGCCGCGGUAAUACGUAGGUCCCGAGCGUUGUCCGGAUUUAUUGGGCGUAAAGCGAGCGCAGGCGGUUAGAUAAGUCUGAAGUGAAAGGCAGUGGCUCAACCAUUGUAGGCUUUGGAAACUGUUUAACUUGAGUGCAGAAGGGGAGAGUGGAAUUCCAUGUGUAGCGGUGAAAUGCGUAGAUAUAUGGAGGAACACCGGUGGCGAAAGCGGCUCUCUGGUCUGUAACUGACGCUGAGGCUC
RNAcentral lists this ribosomal RNA (424 nucleotides) under uncultured Bacteroides sp. RNAcentral describes it as "bacterial SSU rRNA". It matches the Rfam family "Bacterial small subunit ribosomal RNA", at positions 338 to 754 of the family's 1533-position model. Lineage: Bacteria; Pseudomonadati; Bacteroidota; Bacteroidia; Bacteroidales; Bacteroidaceae. The record is from RNAcentral.